AUUGAACGCUGGCGGCAGGCCUAACACAUGCAAGUCGAACGAGCGGCGGACGGGUGAGUAAUGUAUGGGGAUCUGCCCGAUGGAGGGGGAUAACUACUGGAAACGGUGGCUAAUACCGCAUACUAUCGGAUGCGCCCAUAUGGGAUUAGCUAGUCGGUGGGGUAAUGGCUCACCUAGGCGACGAUCCCUAGCUGGUCUGAGAGGAUGAUCAGCCACACUGGAACUGAGACACGGUCCAGACUCCUACGGGAGGCAGCAGUGGGGAAGAUUGCACAAUGGGCGCAAGCCUGAUACAGCCAUGCCGCGUGUAUGAAGAAGGCCUUCGGGUUGUAAAGUACUUUCAGCGGGGAGGCGUUACUCGCAGAAGAAGCACCGGCUAACUCCGUGCCAGCAGCCGCGGUAAUUC
Molecule: ribosomal RNA, 406 nt
Filed under: uncultured bacterium
Lineage: Bacteria
Description: partial 16S ribosomal RNA
Rfam family: Bacterial small subunit ribosomal RNA
Source: RNAcentral